UUACGAGUUGCAUAUAGUCUUUUACUAUUACAGGAGACACCUAUGCUAAGUUUUAUUUUUACCCCUUAUUUUUAUUUUCUCAGUGUACCUCACUCUCAGUCUCUUGCAUCCUCUUUCCUCUCCCUCUCCCUCUCUCCUCAUCCUGUUUCUAUCUCUUUACUCCAAUAUCUCUGAUCUAUCUCUAUAUUGCUCAUUCUCUUUCAUUCUUAACUCUAUCACUGCCCCUUCACCACCGCUGGCCCACCCUCACCUUUCUUCUCUCUCCUUAUUCACUAGUGGUUGCCAUGGUGGCGGCGAUGGCGACAAUGGUGCUUCGAUUUUUUGGGUUUCGGUUUUUUUUGGAUUAAAAAUCUUAAGAUAUUAAUUAUAUGAGUUGUGAAGAGUGUUGAUCUGGGCUUGCACCUCCUCCAACGGUAGCGGCGACUUCUACUCCUCCAACAGUAGCAGAGGCUACCACCGCCUUCGACGACCGCGAUAGAUUUCACCUACAACCGCGGCGCUUUCACCUCCUCCAACCGCGACAUACUAUACCUUCCUCUAAUUUCAUUUGAGCAUGCUAUAGUGAAGGUUUCAGUGUUUUUUACCCAAUUUUUUUCACCUAAUUUAUUGGUUUAUAAUUUGUAGGGUGUUUAAUACAAAGCAACUGAUUUCAGUUGACUAGAGUUCUUACUUUCCCAUCGUAUUUUUUGUUCCAUGAAUUGGGUUUACAAGAUUUGUGGAAUACCCGGUUCAAAAUUUAAUCAUUUACAUUUUUUUUGAUGCUCAAUUAAUGGAUCCAAUCCCUAAAUCUUAAGUUAGGGUUCCAUAAUUCUGGGGUACAAUUAUUAAUUUUGCUUUGAUUUUCUUUGUUUCGGGUAAACCCCACUUCAUUAUUUUGGAUAAUUUUGUUGUCUAACUGAAGCUCAUUAUAUGAAUUUUGAGGUGUUUAAUUUGUUUUGUUUUUUUGGUACCUUAACAAUGAUUCAUAUUCUUUUAAGUUUGUGACUUUAAUUUUUGUUGUUACAUGAAUUAUAUAUCAUGGGUUAUAAAUCCAAAUUGAUCAGGAUUAUGUUAAUUUCUAUAGUCUCAUCUUGUAGUUGAAUAUAUAUGGAGGAAAGCCUUUCAUGCAUGCUGGUGUUAGUUCAUCUUUUUUGUUCUUUUCUGUUCUUCUGUCCCCUUUAUCAUGCUUUGGAUGAGUUGUAACUUUGCAGCAAGUAUUAUAUCAGUGUGUUCUUUUCAUUAAGUUUAUUACUACCAAACUGAAAUCAUAUAUAACACAUUUGUUGUUGCUCUGAAGAAUUUAGAGCAAUGCAUAUGGCCAAUGCUUAUCUAUGAAAGUCUGAAAGCUUUUAGUGCUCUUUGCUUACUUUCAAUUGCUAGGACUUCACUUGUUACGCAAAAGCUUGGCUUCAGUAACACGGUUCUGAUGCAUUUUUGUUUAUCGGGAAUUGUUGAAUCAUUGAUUUUUUUUUUUUACUCACAUUUAUUUAUUUUUCUUUGUUGCUUAUUAGUUGCAGUUUAUUUGAUGAAGCUAGGGUGUGAUUUGAUGUGUUUUUGUCUCUUGAUUGUGCUAUGUAGAUGGAGUUACCUUGCCAGUUUGACAUUGUCAAUACUGAACCAAAGUUCAAGAAACUCGCAUUAUAUACCCCUGAUGGAUUGUAUAAGAACUGGUCUCUAAGCCUUAGCUAUAGAGGACGAGGGAUUUUUAUUGUUUUUAUUACUUUUUUAUGGAAUUGUAUAACUAUCUUUGUUAGUAUAAUGUCAUUUAAUUUGUUUAUAGAUUGAUGAUGCUUUUUGAAAAUAUUGUAGUAUCUUCAAAUUACAAUCAAUUAAUUUGUUUAGCAGUAGUCUUAUCAUUAAAGGUAUAAGGGGUACAAUUC
This is a long non-coding RNA of Chenopodium quinoa (quinoa), 1859 nucleotides long. RefSeq lists it as uncharacterized. NCBI's taxonomy places the organism in Eukaryota, Viridiplantae, Streptophyta, Magnoliopsida, Caryophyllales, Amaranthaceae. The transcript is spliced from 3 exons. The record is from RefSeq and is a predicted model, not a curated record.